UGCGUAGGGGGCAAGCGUUGUCCGGAAUCAUUGGGCGUAAAGCGCGUGUAGGCGGUUCGGUAAGUCGGCUGUGAAAGUCCAGGGCUCAACCCUGGGAUGCCGGUCGAUACUGCCGGACUAGAGUUCGGAAGAGGCGAGUGGAAUUCCCGGUGUAGCGGUGAAAUGCGCAGAUAUCGGGAGGAACACCAAUGGCGAAGGCAGCUCGCUGGGACGUUACUGACGCUGAGACGCGAAAGCGUGGGGAGCAAACAGG
RNAcentral lists this ribosomal RNA (253 nucleotides) under uncultured bacterium. RNAcentral's name for it is "partial 16S ribosomal RNA". It matches the Rfam family "Bacterial small subunit ribosomal RNA", at positions 524 to 776 of the family's 1533-position model. The record is from RNAcentral.